ACUGCCAGUGGGAUUCACUG
Molecule: ribosomal RNA, 20 nt
Filed under: uncultured ectomycorrhiza (Basidiomycota)
Lineage: Eukaryota; Fungi; Basidiomycota
Description: partial 18S ribosomal RNA
Source: RNAcentral